AACGCAUAUUGCACUCUCUGGCUCUCCAGAGAGUAUGCCUGUUUGAGUAUCAGUUUAAAUCUCUCACCCUCAAUUGGGGGAUGAGGAAUUGAGCAAUCCGCUGGCGUUGAAUUGUUUACGCGAUUUGGCGAUUUAACGCGGUUGCUUGAAAUGUAUAGCUAAGCGGUAUUGACCACUGCUUAAGAUGACUAGGCGUAUUAGUUUCCCAUUUGGGAAUCCACUCGUGCGCCGGUGUAUUGGUCUCUAAAGCCUUUGUGUUGGUUGAUCGCUGUGCUUUCCUAAAUGUUCUUCGGAUCAUUUACUUAGUUUGGCUUGCGGUUAGCAUUCCGAACUUGAUCUUGAUCUCAAAUCAGGCAAGACUACCCGCUGAAUUUAA
RNAcentral lists this unclassified non-coding RNA (376 nucleotides) under uncultured fungus. RNAcentral describes it as "partial contains 5.8S ribosomal RNA, internal transcribed spacer 2, and large subunit ribosomal RNA". The record is from RNAcentral. Lineage: Eukaryota; Fungi.